Molecule: ribosomal RNA, 465 nt
Filed under: Vreelandella stevensii
Lineage: Bacteria; Pseudomonadati; Pseudomonadota; Gammaproteobacteria; Oceanospirillales; Halomonadaceae
Description: partial 16S ribosomal RNA
Rfam family: Bacterial small subunit ribosomal RNA
Source: RNAcentral
CCUACGGGUGGCAGCAGUGGGGAAUAUUGGACAAUGGGGGCAACCCCGAUCCAGCCAUGCCGCGUGUGUGAAGAAGGCCCUCGGGUUGUAAAGCACUUUCAGUGAGGAAGAACGCCUGGUGGUUAAUACCCAUCAGGAAAGACAUCACUCACAGAAGAAGCACCGGCUAACUCCGUGCCAGCAGCCGCGGUAAUACGGAGGGUGCGAGCGUUAAUCGGAAUUACUGGGCGUAAAGCGCGCGUAGGUGGCUUGAUAAGCCGGUUGUGAAAGCCCCGGGCUCAACCUGGGAACGGCAUCCGGAACUGUCAAGCUAGAGUGCAGGAGAGGAAGGUAGAAUUCCCGGUGUAGCGGUGAAAUGCGUAGAGAUCGGGAGGAAUACCAGUGGCGAAGGCGGCCUUCUGGACUGACACUGACACUGAGGUGCGAAAGCGUGGGUAGCAAACAGGAUUAGAUACCCUGGUAGUC